This 381-nucleotide ribosomal RNA is filed under the name uncultured bacterium. RNAcentral's name for it is "partial 16S ribosomal RNA". It matches the Rfam family "Bacterial small subunit ribosomal RNA", at positions 338 to 733 of the family's 1533-position model. The record is from RNAcentral.
CCUACGGGUGGCAGCAGUGGGGAAUAUUGGGCAAUGGGCGCAAGCCUGACCCAGCAACGCCGCGUGAAGGAAGAAGGCUUUCGGGUUGUAAACUUCUUUUCUGAGGGACGAAGAAAGUGACGGUACCUCAGGUAUAAGCCACCGCUAACUACGGGCCAGCAGCCGCGGGAAUACGUAGGUGGCAAGCGUUAUCCGGAUUUAUUGGGUGUAAAGGCCGUGUAGGCGGGAAAGCAAGUCAGAUGUGAAAACUCAGGGCUCAACCCUGAGCCUGCAUUUGAAACUGUUAUUCGUGAGUGCUGGAGAGGCAAUCGGAAUUCCGGGUGAAGCGGUGAAAUGCGUAGAUAUACGGAGGAACACCAGUGGCGAAGGCGGAUUGCUGGA